CCGCAAGGCUAAAACCCAAAGGAAUUGACGGGGGCUUACACAAGCGGUGGAGCAUGUGGUUUAAUUCGAAACAACGCGCAAAACCUUACCAAUCCUUGACAUAUGAAAAACCAGGGUGUUUACCCGCUCUGUCUCUUUAUACAGGUGCUGCAUGGCUGUCGUCAGUUCGUGGUGUGAGCUGUUGGGUUAAGUCCCAGAACGAACGCAACCCUCCUUUGAAAUGAAGGUUUACCUUUUUCAAAGACUGCCAAGGAUAUCUUGGAGGAAGGUGAGGAUGACGUCAAGUCCGCAUGGCCCUUAUGGGUUGGGCUACACACGUGCUACAAUGGGAAUGACAAAAGGAGGCAACAUGGCAACAUUGAGCAAAUCCCAAAAAGUUUCCUUAGUUCGGAUUGUUCUCUGCAACUCGAGAACAUGAAGUUGGAAUCGCUAGUAAUCGUAGAUCAGCACGCUACGGUGAAUUUGUAUCUAAGCCUUGUACACACCGCCCGUCACACUCUGAAAAUUUUCAUGCCUUGAAGCAAAAGAAGUUCACCAAGAACACACAGCGCAAUUAAAAAAAAACAUCUUCCCUUUUUUUUCUGUGUCUUUGUUGGAACCUUUUCUAGAGUUAGGGAGGUGAUUGGAGUG
This 630-nucleotide ribosomal RNA is filed under the name uncultured picoeukaryote. RNAcentral's name for it is "partial 16S ribosomal RNA". It matches the Rfam family "Bacterial small subunit ribosomal RNA", at positions 886 to 1482 of the family's 1533-position model. The record is from RNAcentral.